RNAcentral lists this ribosomal RNA (1535 nucleotides) under metagenome. RNAcentral's name for it is "bacterial LSU rRNA". It matches the Rfam family "Bacterial large subunit ribosomal RNA", at positions 1409 to 2925 of the family's 2925-position model. The record is from RNAcentral.
CCGUAGUCGAUGGAAAACAGGUUAAUAUUCCUGUACUUCUGGUUAUUGCGAUGGAGGGACGGAGAAGGCUAGGCCAGCUUGGCGUUGGUUGUCCAAGUUUAAGGUGGUAGGCUGGAAUCUUAGGUAAAUCCGGGAUUCUAAGGCCGAGAGCUGAUGACGAGUUACCCUUUGGGUGACGAAGUGGUUGAUGCCAUGCUUCCAAGAAAAGCUUCUAAGCUUCAGGUAACCAGGAACCGUACCCCAAACCGACACAGGUGGUUGGGUAGAGAAUACCAAGGCGCUUGAGAGAACUCGGGUGAAGGAACUAGGCAAAAUGGCACCGUAACUUCGGGAGAAGGUGCGCCGGUGAGGGUGAAGGACUUACUCCGUAAGCCCACGCCGGUCGAAGAUACCAGGCCGCUGCGACUGUUUAUUAAAAACACAGCACUCUGCAAACACGAAAGUGGACGUAUAGGGUGUGACGCCUGCCCGGUGCCGGAAGGUUAAUUGAUGGGGUUAGCUAACGCGAAGCUCUUGAUCGAAGCCCCGGUAAACGGCGGCCGUAACUAUAACGGUCCUAAGGUAGCGAAAUUCCUUGUCGGGUAAGUUCCGACCUGCACGAAUGGCGUAACGAUGGCGGCGCUGUCUCCACCCGAGACUCGGUGAAAUUGAAAUCGCUGUGAAGAUGCAGUGUAUCCGCGGCUAGACGGAAAGACCCCGUGAACCUUUACUAUAGCUUUGCACUGGACUUUGAAUUUGCUUGUGAAGGAUAGGUGGGAGGCUUUGAAGCGUGGACGCCAGUUCGCGUGGAGCCAACCUUGAAAUACCACCCUGGCGACUUUGAGGUUCUAACUCAGGUCCGUUAUCCGGAUCGAGGACAGUGUAUGGUGGGUAGUUUGACUGGGGCGGUCUCCUCCUAAAGAGUAACGGAGGAGUACGAAGGUGCGCUCAGACCGGUCGGAAAUCGGUCGUAGAGUAUAAAGGCAAAAGCGCGCUUGACUGCGAGACAGACACGUCGAGCAGGUACGAAAGUAGGUCUUAGUGAUCCGGUGGUUCUGUAUGGAAGGGCCAUCGCUCAACGGAUAAAAGGUACUCCGGGGAUAACAGGCUGAUACCGCCCAAGAGUUCAUAUCGACGGCGGUGUUUGGCACCUCGAUGUCGGCUCAUCACAUCCUGGGGCUGAAGCCGGUCCCAAGGGUAUGGCUGUUCGCCAUUUAAAGUGGUACGCGAGCUGGGUUUAGAACGUCGUGAGACAGUUCGGUCCCUAUCUGCCGUGGACGUUUGAGAUUUGAGAGGGGCUGCUCCUAGUACGAGAGGACCGGAGUGGACGAACCUCUGGUGUUCCGGUUGUCACGCCAGUGGCAUUGCCGGGUAGCUAUGUUCGGAAUAGAUAACCGCUGAAAGCAUCUAAGCGGGAAACUAGCCUCAAGAUGAGAUCUCACUGGGACCUUGAGUCCCCUGAAGGGCCGUCGAAGACUACGACGUUGAUAGGUUGGGUGUGUAAGCGCUGUGAGGCGUUGAGCUAACCAAUACUAAUUGCCCGUGAGGCUUGAGCA